GAGUUACAUUGUUACCAUGGUGCUGUGUGGUCGCCUAGGCGGAGAGCUCCUGUACAUUGUGUUAUUUUUUUUUAUAAAUCUCUGUUUUGUUGACAUAAAUAUUGUGACCUUCAAUGUAAAAGUUACAGGACUUCAACAUCAAAUCAGUUUUUUUGCCUUGGCUAGCUAGCUACCUGGAUGGCUAAUGUUUGCAUUGAAAUAAUGCUGCAGCAGCUCCGGUUUUUAUGUUUCAUCUGGAAGGUGAAGACUGCGAUGUCAGAGUGGCAGAGGGACUGUUCCUGACCACUGCUGAUUUUCUGGCGCUUUACUGCAGCAUCAACCAGGUGCCUGCUUCACUGUAGGCAAUGGAGGAUCAGCUACCUACGGAGUAGAGGCUACUAUGGAGUAACUGCGAACGUUGGACAAAGCGAUGGGCCCUUAAGAGCUCCUGGCUUGUCUGACACACUGACUUUCUCCCUGGCUGCACCCUCCACUCAAGCCAUACUGACUUUUCCAAACUGCCUCAACUCCAUUCGUUUUGCAUCUUUAAUUUGUUGUUCAUUGAUGAAUGAUGUAUUUUGUUAACAAGAGGACCUCAAUGGAAAUACAUUUCUAAACGUUGUGUUAUCAUAUAUCAUGCUUAUCUACAAAUGCCUGUCUCAAGCUUCCUGUCACUCACCAGGGCCAUGAUGAUCUGGACGUGACUAACGAGUCGAGGCAAAGAACCAAUGGUUGUGCCUGAGUCUUAUCACCUCUCAACAAGGCAGCGGCUAUUAAGAAGAAGGAAGCAGCUGUGGACCGGAAGACUGCAGCCAAGGCAGCACUGGUCCACACUUGUCCUGUCUGUCGGAUGCAGACUAGAAGACAUUCAAGCAGCACUUUGAGAGCAAGCAUCCCAAGACUCCAAUGGUCCCAGUACUGGUUGGAGUGCAGGCCUAUGUGCCCACACACACUCAAAUGGACCUACAGCUGAGACGCACGAUUACCACGAUUUAAAUGCUGCAACUGAGACGGAAUGACGUCGAGGGACACACGCUGAGAACCAGAGUAUGACUGGACAUGGGCCGGAUAUUUGUGACAACGUCCUAAAAGGCGUGCAGAAGCACACCAGCACAUUUACAUUAACGUCAUUUAGCAGAUGCUCUUAUCCAGAGCGACUUACAAAUUGCACCCCAUGUUAUGUUUAUUCCAUGGCCAACCAUCCCUUUAGUUACCGCUUAUUCCACACUAUGCCUUUUAUGCCCCAUGCUCCCUCAACUUCGACUUUUUUGAAACUCUCCAUCUUAUCUCUAUAAACCCACCCUACCUUCACCCGUU
This is a long non-coding RNA of Salmo salar (Atlantic salmon), 1296 nucleotides long. RefSeq lists it as uncharacterized. The record is from RefSeq and is a predicted model, not a curated record. NCBI's taxonomy places the organism in Eukaryota, Metazoa, Chordata, Actinopteri, Salmoniformes, Salmonidae.